GACGAACGCUGGCGGCGUGCUUAAUACAUGCAAGUCGAGCGAGGUUACUGUUUUGGAUCCCUUCGGGGUGAAGAAGCUUUAACCUAGCGGCGGACGGGUGAGUAACGCGUGGGUAACCUACCCCAAAGUCCGGGAUAACAGCGGGAAACCGCUGCUAAUACCGGAUGCCUUUACCUUGGGGCAUCUUGAGGUAAAGAAAGGCAACGCUUUGGGAUGGGCCCGCGUCCCAUUAGCUAGUUGGUGAGGUAACGGCUCACCAAGGCGACGAUGGGUAGCCGGCCUGAGAGGGUGGACGGCCACACUGGGACUGAGACACGGCCCAGACUCCUACGGGAGGCAGCAGUAGGGAAUAUUGCGCAAUGGACGGAAGUCUGACGCAGCGACGCCGCGUGAGCGAUGAAGGUCUUCGGAUCGUAAAGCUCUGUCCUUGGGGAAGAAGGUCUUCGGACUUGACGGUACCCAAGAAGAAAGCCCCGGUAACUACGUG
RNAcentral lists this ribosomal RNA (487 nucleotides) under uncultured bacterium. RNAcentral's name for it is "bacterial SSU rRNA". It matches the Rfam family "Bacterial small subunit ribosomal RNA", at positions 28 to 507 of the family's 1533-position model. The record is from RNAcentral.